RNAcentral lists this long non-coding RNA (676 nucleotides) under Vigna radiata. RNAcentral's name for it is "long non-coding RNA (VRAD_LNC000882)". Lineage: Eukaryota; Viridiplantae; Streptophyta; Magnoliopsida; Fabales; Fabaceae. The record is from RNAcentral.
GGUGCACAUGGAAGAAAGCAAACAAAUAUAUAUUGAGGGCUGGAACGUUAGGGCCUGAUGCUUGAAUGGACGAAGCAUUUUUCAUUUCUAUUGUGUUGCAACACUGGACCCAUUUCCUUAUCAUUGAAGAGUGAGUGGUGCUACGGAGGGUGGCUGAUUUCAUCUAAGAAUUGCACAUACGGUAAUCAAAUUGAGGAGAGAAAGCACGUGAUUUCAUUGGAGAGAAGAAAUGCAUUUGCUUUCUUUUAAAGGCUAUGGUCAAGCUGCUACAGGGAGAAUGGACUUUCAUCACCAAUUUAUUUGCUUUUGAAAAAGUAAUGGACUAUCAGGCCCAGUUGUAGCAAAGCGACGGCAAAAUAAAAUGUGCAGCAGUGGGAGAGGCCAGCGAGCGUUGCACAAGUUUGGAGAGUUGCUUGGUGGAAGAGAAGCGUGCUUCAGCUGUAUAAAAAAAUCUGCCACGGCCCAAUUGUUUAGGAUAUGCAACACACCAGCUUGGGAAGCUUCUAGCCUUCAAAAGACAUCACGGCCCAAGACCUGCAGCACGUGAAAGUGAAGUCAGCGUGGAGAUGCAGUGGUGCAACCAGCAGCAGCUUCACUCCACCAUCCAGCAGGUUGCUACCCUCAUGGCCCAAGCAUGCAGCAAACCUCCACUCACGGCCCACUUGCAGCUCCCACG